This 427-nucleotide ribosomal RNA is filed under the name uncultured archaeon. RNAcentral's name for it is "bacterial SSU rRNA". It matches the Rfam family "Archaeal small subunit ribosomal RNA", at positions 474 to 903 of the family's 1478-position model. The record is from RNAcentral.
UACCAGCUCUCCGAGUGGUAGGGAUGAUUAUUGGGCUUAAAGCGUCCGUAGCCGGCUUAGCAAGUUUCCUGUUAAAUUCAGCGACCUAAUCGUUGAGCCGCGGGAAAUACUACUAGGCUAGGAGGUGGGAGAGGUCGACGGUACUUCUGGGGUAGGGGUGAAAUCCUAUAAUCCCGGGAGGACCACCAGUGGCGAAGGCUGUCGACUAGAACGCGCCCGACGGUGAGGGAUGAAAGCUGGGGAGCGAACCGGAUUAGAUACCCGGGUAGUCCCAGCUGUAAACGGUGCAGGCCAGGUGUUUGGGCGGCCACGUGCCGCUCUAGUGCCGCAAGGAAGCUGUUAAGCCUGCCGCCUGGGGAGUACGGCCGCAAGGCUGAAACUUAAGGAAUUGGCGGGGGAGCACCACAAGGGGUGAAGCUUGCGGUUU